RNAcentral lists this ribosomal RNA (2802 nucleotides) under Escherichia coli. RNAcentral describes it as "partial 23S ribosomal RNA". It matches the Rfam family "Bacterial large subunit ribosomal RNA". Lineage: Bacteria; Pseudomonadati; Pseudomonadota; Gammaproteobacteria; Enterobacterales; Enterobacteriaceae. The record is from RNAcentral.
GGGUUGUGAGGUUAAGCGACUAAGCGUACACGGUGGAUGCCCUGGCAGUCAGAGGCGAUGAAGGACGUGCUAAUCUGCGAUAAGCGUCGGUAAGGUGAUAUGAACCGUUAUAACCGGCGAUUUCCGAAUGGGGAAACCCAGUGUGUUUCGACACACUAUCAUUAACUGAAUCCAUAGGUUAAUGAGGCGAACCGGGGGAACUGAAACAUCUAAGUACCCCGAGGAAAAGAAAUCAACCGAGAUUCCCCCAGUAGCGGCGAGCGAACGGGGAGCAGCCCAGAGCCUGAAUCAGUGUGUGUGUUAGUGGAAGCGUCUGGAAAGGCGCGCGAUACAGGGUGACAGCCCCGUACACAAAAAUGCACAUGCUGUGAGCUCGAUGAGUAGGGCGGGACACGUGGUAUCCUGUCUGAAUAUGGGGGGACCAUCCUCCAAGGCUAAAUACUCCUGACUGACCGAUAGUGAACCAGUACCGUGAGGGAAAGGCGAAAAGAACCCCGGCGAGGGGAGUGAAAAAGAACCUGAAACCGUGUACGUACAAGCAGUGGGAGCACGCUUAGGCGUGUGACUGCGUACCUUUUGUAUAAUGGGUCAGCGACUUAUAUUCUGUAGCAAGGUUAACCGAAUAGGGGAGCCGAAGGGAAACCGAGUCUUAACUGGGCGUUAAGUUGCAGGGUAUAGACCCGAAACCCGGUGAUCUAGCCAUGGGCAGGUUGAAGGUUGGGUAACACUAACUGGAGGACCGAACCGACUAAUGUUGAAAAAUUAGCGGAUGACUUGUGGCUGGGGGUGAAAGGCCAAUCAAACCGGGAGAUAGCUGGUUCUCCCCGAAAGCUAUUUAGGUAGCGCCUCGUGAAUUCAUCUCCGGGGGUAGAGCACUGUUUCGGCAAGGGGGUCAUCCCGACUUACCAACCCGAUGCAAACUGCGAAUACCGGAGAAUGUUAUCACGGGAGACACACGGCGGGUGCUAACGUCCGUCGUGAAGAGGGAAACAACCCAGACCGCCAGCUAAGGUCCCAAAGUCAUGGUUAAGUGGGAAACGAUGUGGGAAGGCCCAGACAGCCAGGAUGUUGGCUUAGAAGCAGCCAUCAUUUAAAGAAAGCGUAAUAGCUCACUGGUCGAGUCGGCCUGCGCGGAAGAUGUAACGGGGCUAAACCAUGCACCGAAGCUGCGGCAGCGACGCUUAUGCGUUGUUGGGUAGGGGAGCGUUCUGUAAGCCUGUGAAGGUGUGCUGUGAGGCAUGCUGGAGGUAUCAGAAGUGCGAAUGCUGACAUAAGUAACGAUAAAGCGGGUGAAAAGCCCGCUCGCCGGAAGACCAAGGGUUCCUGUCCAACGUUAAUCGGGGCAGGGUGAGUCGACCCCUAAGGCGAGGCCGAAAGGCGUAGUCGAUGGGAAACAGGUUAAUAUUCCUGUACUUGGUGUUACUGCGAAGGGGGGACGGAGAAGGCUAUGUUGGCCGGGCGACGGUUGUCCCGGUUUAAGCGUGUAGGCUGGUUUUCCAGGCAAAUCCGGAAAAUCAAGGCUGAGGCGUGAUGACGAGGCACUACGGUGCUGAAGCAACAAAUGCCCUGCUUCCAGGAAAAGCCUCUAAGCAUCAGGUAACAUCAAAUCGUACCCCAAACCGACACAGGUGGUCAGGUAGAGAAUACCAAGGCGCUUGAGAGAACUCGGGUGAAGGAACUAGGCAAAAUGGUGCCGUAACUUCGGGAGAAGGCACGCUGAUAUGUAGGUGAGGUCCCUCGCGGAUGGAGCUGAAAUCAGUCGAAGAUACCAGCUGGCUGCAACUGUUUAUUAAAAACACAGCACUGUGCAAACACGAAAGUGGACGUAUACGGUGUGACGCCUGCCCGGUGCCGGAAGGUUAAUUGAUGGGGUUAGCGCAAGCGAAGCUCUUGAUCGAAGCCCCGGUAAACGGCGGCCGUAACUAUAACGGUCCUAAGGUAGCGAAAUUCCUUGUCGGGUAAGUUCCGACCUGCACGAAUGGCGUAAUGAUGGCCAGGCUGUCUCCACCCGAGACUCAGUGAAAUUGAACUCGCUGUGAAGAUGCAGUGUACCCGCGGCAAGACGGAAAGACCCCGUGAACCUUUACUAUAGCUUGACACUGAACAUUGAGCCUUGAUGUGUAGGAUAGGUGGGAGGCUUUGAAGUGUGGACGCCAGUCUGCAUGGAGCCGACCUUGAAAUACCACCCUUUAAUGUUUGAUGUUCUAACGUUGACCCGUAAUCCGGGUUGCGGACAGUGUCUGGUGGGUAGUUUGACUGGGGCGGUCUCCUCCUAAAGAGUAACGGAGGAGCACGAAGGUUGGCUAAUCCUGGUCGGACAUCAGGAGGUUAGUGCAAUGGCAUAAGCCAGCUUGACUGCGAGCGUGACGGCGCGAGCAGGUGCGAAAGCAGGUCAUAGUGAUCCGGUGGUUCUGAAUGGAAGGGCCAUCGCUCAACGGAUAAAAGGUACUCCGGGGAUAACAGGCUGAUACCGCCCAAGAGUUCAUAUCGACGGCGGUGUUUGGCACCUCGAUGUCGGCUCAUCACAUCCUGGGGCUGAAGUAGGUCCCAAGGGUAUGGCUGUUCGCCAUUUAAAGUGGUACGCGAGCUGGGUUUAGAACGUCGUGAGACAGUUCGGUCCCUAUCUGCCGUGGGCGCUGGAGAACUGAGGGGGGCUGCUCCUAGUACGAGAGGACCGGAGUGGACGCAUCACUGGUGUUCGGGUUGUCAUGCCAAUGGCACUGCCCGGUAGCUAAAUGCGGAAGAGAUAAGUGCUGAAAGCAUCUAAGCACGAAACUUGCCCCGAGAUGAGUUCUCCCUGAC